This 465-nucleotide ribosomal RNA is filed under the name Vreelandella stevensii. RNAcentral's name for it is "partial 16S ribosomal RNA". It matches the Rfam family "Bacterial small subunit ribosomal RNA", at positions 338 to 795 of the family's 1533-position model. The record is from RNAcentral. Lineage: Bacteria; Pseudomonadati; Pseudomonadota; Gammaproteobacteria; Oceanospirillales; Halomonadaceae.
CCUACGGUUGGCAGCAGUGGGGAAUAUUGGACAAUGGGGGCAACCCUGAUCCAGCCAUGCCGCGUGUGUGAAGAAGGCCCUCGGGUUGUAAAGCACUUUCAGUGAGGAAGAACGCCUGGUGGUUAAUACCCAUCAGGAAAGACAUCACUCACAGAAGAAGCACCGGCUAACUCCGUGCCAGCAGCCGCGGUAAUACGGAGGGUGCGAGCGUUAAUCGGAAUUACUGGGCGUAAAGCGCGCGUAGGUGGCUUGAUAAGCCGGUUGUGAAAGCCCCGGGCUCAACCUGGGAACGGCAUCCGGAACUGUCAAGCUAGAGUGCAGGAGAGGAAGGUAGAAUUCCCGGUGUAGCGGUGAAAUGCGUAGAGAUCGGGAGGAAUACCAGUGGCGAAGGCGGCCUUCUGGACUGACACUGACACUGAGGUGCGAAAGCGUGGGUAGCAAACAGGAUUAGAUACCCCAGUAGUC